GACAGAGGUGGCGAGCGUUGUCCGGAAUCACUGGGCUUAAAGGGCGCGUAGGCGGUUUUGCAAGUCUGGCGGUGGAAUCUCGGGGCUUAACCCCGGGGCUGCCCUGGAAACUGCAUGACUUGAGUAAGCGAGGGGAGGGCGGAAUUCCCGGUGUAGCGGUGAAAUGCGUAGAUAUCGGGAGGAAGGCCGGUGGCGAAGGCGGCCCUCUGGCGCUUAACUGACGCUGAGGCGCGAAAGCGUGGGGAGCAAA
RNAcentral lists this ribosomal RNA (250 nucleotides) under uncultured bacterium. RNAcentral's name for it is "partial 16S ribosomal RNA". It matches the Rfam family "Bacterial small subunit ribosomal RNA", at positions 524 to 772 of the family's 1533-position model. The record is from RNAcentral.